Long non-coding RNA from Octopus bimaculoides (California two-spot octopus), 4384 nucleotides. The record is from RefSeq and is a predicted model, not a curated record. Lineage: Eukaryota; Metazoa; Mollusca; Cephalopoda; Octopoda; Octopodidae.
UGAAAUAUAAUUAUUUGAUAUGAUUAUGUACAUUUGCGUAUAUUAUAUUUUACAUAAAUAUUACUUUCUAGAUUUCAAACAUUGGGACAAGAUGCGACUUUGUUAAAACAGUCCUUCCCACAAAGCAAAUUAAAUAAAAUUUGGAAUUUGCAGAGGGUUAAAGUGGUAACAAAAACAGGACAGUAAGAACAAGACAGUAAAAACAAAUGGCUGAUAAUGGGUUCCAAGCUGAAGCAACAUACUGUUAUUGAGUUCUUGCCAAAGGAGAGAUGCAUGCUGUUGGACAUCCACAAAAGUUUGUUUCCAGAGAUGACACCAUUGACAAUAACAAUAUGCAAAGAUUGAUGAUGAAGUUUAAAGAAGGAAAAUCAGCACUGACGACAAACUAUGUGGUGGGAAACCAUCAACUGCAAUCACUCACAUGAAUCACCAGCAAGUGGACAAAUUGAUUUGUGCAGAAAGCUGAGUCACAACUGCUCCACAGCUGGUUGCACAACUGAUCUGUGGUUACAAUGCAUGACAGGAAAUAAUAGAAGGCUUUGGGUAUUGGAAAGUGUGGACAAAGUGAGUGCCUCAGCAGCUGUGCCCCAAUUUAAAAGUUGGAAGUCUACUCUGAUCUGCUGGGAGCAUUUGAAGCCAACAAAAACAUUUUUUUUUUCUGAUCUGGUAAUAACUAAUGAAAUGUAGCUAUAUCUUUAUGAUUGGGAAAUGAAGGCUCUGUCCAUAGAAUGGAAUCACCUCUUCUUCAAGACCUAAGAAGUUCAAGAGCUAGACAUCAGCUCAGAAAGUCAUGGUGACUUAUGUGGGAUGACAAGGGCUUCUUUCUCUUUGAUUUUCUGGAAGGUGACUAUCUUGAACAGUGAGUGGUACAUAAAAACAGAGACAUUGAAAUAGUUUGGAAGAGACCAAACAAGAACCCAGAAACAAUUCACAUUCACCAUGACAAUACAUGACUACACAUCUUUGACAACAAAUCAGGCAAUUGGCAAAUUGUGCUGGUCAGCGUUUCCUCCCUCCACUCUACAACUUGGACCUGGUGCCCUCUAAUUUUUACCUGUUUGGUCUAAUGGAGGACAGUUUUCAAGGACAAUGAUUUGAUGACAUUGACAAGUUGAUACCUGCCAUUAUGCCUCUAAGCCUUUCAUGUCCUUGCUGCAGUCACCCACUGUUCCUCCAAUUCCUCUCUCCCUCCUCACUACUACCCAUCUAGGGUGCUUUUGCAGCAUUCACACUCUUCUCUUCUUCCUUCUACCCCCAUGACACCCUCCAGUGUCUCCUUCUUGCACCUUGCCCUGUCUUUUUGUCUCUUACUCCUAUCUCCUUCAUGGCUUCUCUGCCUCCUCAACUCCCUUCUCAUUUUCUAUCCCUGAUGUACUCCAAUGAACUCCCAUAUCUCUCUUUCCUUCAAUGGUUGACUUAAGAUUCUUCAUCACCCUAGUCCAUUACUCCCUUCCUUCCCCCUUUCACUCACACUUCCUAUCCAUACUUGAUACUUAUGGUAUUGGAUAACCCUAGAACCAUCUCCUUACAAAACCCACUCUGUUACAUUUUAACUCCAUCCCUUCUCAAUAACAGCCGUUAAUAAUUCCUUCCUUUGCUCCUUUUCCCUGCCACACUUCUCCAUCCUCUCCUCUUUCUUACCAUCCCACAUUCCUCGGUUAUAGGGGUUACUUUAGGCCCUUACAUCUUGCAAAAUAUAAGGCUGUCAUCACUAGUGCUAAUAAAAAAGCACCCAGCACACUCUGUAAAGUGAUUGGUGUUAGGAAGGGCAUGAAGCCAUAGAAGCAUUGCUGACACUUUGACUCACUAGAACCUGUCAAACUGUCCAACUCAUGGAAAAAAUCAACCCAGUAUUUUUUUAAAAGUCUGGUACUUAUUCCAUUGCAUUUUCCACCAAACUGCUAAGUUAUGUGCACAUAAAUAAACCAGUACCACUUGUCAAGCAAUGGUAGGGAACAAACACAAAGAUGUUCGCAAAUACAUACAUAUGCACAUAUCAUCAUCUUAAUGGAAAAGUGAAUGUUAAAAUGAUGAUGAUGAUGAUGAUAUAUGGCCUUCCAUUCAAUCUCCAUCUACCAGAUCUACUCAGAGGGUAUUUGUCAGCUUGAGACUAUAAUAGAUGAUUUUUAUGUUACACACUGUAUUGUACACGGGACAAUACACUCUACACUGUAUACUACAUACUGUAUUAUACAGUGCUAUUCAUUAUAUUAUGCACACUACAAUACACUAUUAUACUCUACUGUAUAAGAUUCCUAAGCUUAGUCCAUUUGGCUCUAAAUAGGAACCAUAAGUAGAUAUAUGUUACCAGUGUAAACAAUAGGAACACUAAUUCUGAAGAGAUGCGAUUAAAAACUUAAAGGUUUUAUGUUAUAAAAAAAUAUGAAAAAACGUACAGUAUAUAUGAUAAGUUACUUGAGAAUUUUUAUAAUUUAUUAAUUUGUAUGGUAAAAGAUGGUUUUAAAAUAUUGAUAUUGGUUUCAAAUUUUGGCACUAGUCUAUUAUUUUCUGGGGAGCAGAUAAGUCAAUUAUAUUGCAUUAGUGUCAAAUUAAUAACACAAUUAAUUACCUACCUACCUACCCAGCCACCCACAUACAUACAUAGUAUCUGAAUGGAAUAACAGGUAGGCAACGAUAAAAUCUGUAUAGUCAUAAUGUCUGUACACAGUAAUAAUAUUUAUGUAUACAAUGAUAACAUCUGUAUACAAUGAUUAUAGCUGUAGAGAAUGAUGUUGCUGAGAAGAGUAAUCUGUAUAUGAUGGUUAUAUAUAUAAUGGUAAUAUAUUCAAUUCUAAUAAGGGUAAAUAUUGUUGAUGUUAUGAUCCCGUUUCUUAGGAAUCGAACCAGUUUUUGAUUCUCAACAGAAAUGUUUAAUCUCAUCUCUCAUUAUUGAUGUUGUUGGGUAAAACAUAAUCUUGUGAGGACAAACGGUACAAUUACUUCAGCCAGACUAAAUCAAAAAAAAAAAAAAAGUUUCUCCCUUCAAAACUUCCAAGCUUUGUAUUAAUGUCUUCACAAACAUUGACUAAAAGCUUUUCCCAAUUUCAGUUACAAAAGUAUCUUCUGAUAUUUUUUACUUUCCUCCAGUUCAAGAUGUUCUCAGCUAUCUGACCGAUGAUGGGUUUUAUCUCAGUAGUAUAAGAGUUGUCUCCCUUACAUUAGCUUACUCGGCCGUAAUCUGACGUAUUUGAAGCGAGUGUGACAGAUAGUGGAAUAGUUGAAAAUAACUCGGUGACAGAUCAGCUACGAUAUCAACCACCACUAUGCAUUUGUCAUACACUCUCCUUACACUCUUCCUCCCUCUUCAACCAUUUAGCUGCAACGCUUCCAACAAAUCUUCCUCAACUAUCCCGGUUAAGAGAGUACUGGAUAAAAAAUAAAAAAAUAAUUAUUUAAAAUCACACAUAUACAUACAUGAGGAUGUACAAGUUGUCAGAGAGGGUCAGAGCCUUGCCAAUUUCUUUUUAAGACAACUUAACUCUCAGUGGCUCUCCUUUAGUAUCCAGUUCUCAUUUGUGGCUCCAUGGCCUGCAUGUUGUUGUGUGUUACCGUCUGGACUAUGGCAUUAGCAUUCUAGCAAAAUCCAGCUUGCCAACUGAGGGUAGUUGAGGAGUCAAACUCUUGGUAAAAUUUUUUAAGGGCUUGUCACUCCAUGCAUGUGAAGACUGAAUUUCCAACAGAUUAUCUGGAGGAAACCCAACUUUCAGCCGUUGAUAUCCAGUAAUAUCAUCACUGUGGGAUGUAUACCACAGAGCAUGCUGAAAUGUGUAGAUCAAUUAAUACUACUGCAUCCCAGGGAUACUUACAGUGCAUCUGUUAACAAUAUUGCAAGCCCUUCGAAAUAAUUCCAUGUCUAUCAGUAUAACUGAGCUGUUUGAAGUAGCUCUGCUAUAUUUACUAGUGGUUCUGGUAUUGGUGGUGUUGUUACUACCCUUCACUGCUAUGGAAGCAGUUGUAGCAAGACUCAUUUCUGUUCUGGCUUUUUAUGUUCAGCUAACCAUAAAUAGACUCCACACGUUAAUCUUGAUUGUCUGACCUACCACAUGAGUUUUGAACAUUUGGUUGAGUCUUGUAUUUUGAUUGUUUGAGUAUAGCACGGGAUAUGGAUCUCAGAUCCAGUCAUGUUGAGCAUAAUACAUCCUUAAACAAUUUUUUUCUGAGCCCUUUUUUGCCUAUAAAUAGCUUUAUCAAAUCAUUUUUGGGCAGUGAGGUGAGAGAUUUUCCUGAAGCAUGUCAUAUUUUCCUGCUGUUAUAAUGAAGCACUUGCAACCAACGAUGGCCAGAGUUGAAUUAUCCUAACAAUGGAUAAUCUAUACAACCAACAGAAUCCAUUUAGUCCAUUGUAUAAUGUAGCAGAGGAAUAAAGUCUUGCUGUUAUUUUAAA